This 497-nucleotide ribosomal RNA is filed under the name uncultured bacterium. RNAcentral describes it as "partial 16S ribosomal RNA". It matches the Rfam family "Bacterial small subunit ribosomal RNA", at positions 28 to 507 of the family's 1533-position model. The record is from RNAcentral.
GAUGAACGCUGGCGGCGUGCCUAAUACAUGCAAGUCGAGCGAACAGAUGAGGAGCUUGCUCCUCUGACGUUAGCGGCGGAGGGGUGAGUAACACGUGGAUAACCUACCUAUAUGACUGGGAUAACUUCGGGAAACCGGCGCUAAUACCGGAUAAUAUAUUGAACCGCAUGGUUCAAUAGUGAAAGUCGGUUUUGCUGUCUCUUCUAGAUGGAUCUGCGCCGCAUUAGCUAGUUGGUGAGGUAACGGCUUACCAAGGCAACGAUGCGUAGCCGACCUGCGAGGGUGAUCGGCCACACUGGAACUGAGACACGGUCCAGAGUCCUACGGGAGGCAGCAGUAGGGAAUCGGCCGCAAUGGGCGAAAGAUUGACGGAGCAGCGCCGCGUGAGGGAUGAAGGUCUUCGGAUCGUAAAACUCUGUUAUUAGGGAAGAACAAAUGUGUAAGUGACUAUGCACGUCUUGACGGUAACUGGUCAGAAAGCCACGGCUAACUACGUG